This is a long non-coding RNA of Polypterus senegalus (gray bichir), 3417 nucleotides long. RefSeq lists it as uncharacterized. The transcript has 4 exons. The record is from RefSeq and is a predicted model, not a curated record. NCBI's taxonomy places the organism in Eukaryota, Metazoa, Chordata, Cladistia, Polypteriformes, Polypteridae.
UGGGGGGGCACGACUAGUAGAAAAUAAAACUGCAAAGUCCGGAUACAUGUAUAGUCUUGGUAAGCGUACUGAAAAUCAGCAAUGUAAAGGGUGGAUGUUAUCCUGGGUGGCUUUUUAAUUACACAGUCGGUGUAAACGCAUAUGUUUGCAAUUUCUGACGUCCAGAUGAAAUGGUUUCCCUCUCUCUUUCCAAUGUGUCUCGGCCUCUGAUGUCGUUUCCUAUGAAGUUGCUCUUCGGCCCUUCAGACAGGACGUCGUUAUGUAAGUUAACAUCCCAGGUGGAGGUCCAGGAGAUGUGAUGUUACACAUAUGUGACUGGCAAGAUAUCCUUGUGAUUGAUGACUCUGUACCCGUGCAUAUUUGUGCUGUUUCUGUUCUUUUUUACCAUAAGUUCCUUGGAUAACAAAACAUAUGCAUUAAAUUUAUAAAUUAUUGGUACAAUACAGGAAGAAUAUACAAGCUACGUGGGAAAAUCAAAAAGUAAAGGCAAUUUGAAACUUGCAUGGUAACCACAAUAGAUAGAAGCUGACAUAAUACAUCACAAUUAUGAUGCCGUAUGGGGAGCACAAACACGCCCUUGCGGUGCUCUGCCUGUAGUCUAGUUAAAGCCAAGGUCAAAGGAACAUGGACGCUCCACUGUGGGAUUGCACCAUUGUUGAACAAUGCACAGUAGUGAGACUUCUUUGGGCAAAGGGAGGGAAAUCUCUGUGAAUUUAGUGUGAUCGCCUGAACGUGGUGGAGUGGGGUGGACGGACCCCCUUGGUGAAGUGCGAUUGGUCCCCCGCAAUCUCCAGAGCAUUAGAUGAAUCGGGCCCAAUCGUCAAUACUUUUCCUCCAAGGUGAGUCGAACAUGACUGUUACAGUGGGGGUUGGGGAGGCCAUUUAGGAUUGGCCGUGCCCAACCUAUGAUGCUGUUACUGUGAAUCGAGCACAAUCAAUGGGGGCGGAGAUUCGGUUUUGUCUGGAGUCGGCCAUAGCCCACGAGUCGGGGAAAGGCUGAACUCGAACAUCAAGUACUCGUUCAUUGCUGCUCCCUGCCUUGAACUCUAACGCUAUUGUGUUUACCGCUGGGGUCUGCGAGGGAAUAAAGAGAACGAUCCAGAGGUAAUGCAGUCGUUUAGGGGUAACAUGGGGGGUUUAGGGGCGCAUGAAGUACACAUUUGAAAAGAAAUAUCUUGAAUUUGUCUUGGAAAUAGUGUGAAGAGACUGCUGAAAUGCUUAAGUAAGAGACAGAAAUGUUCCAGGUGGUGGUGUAGCAAUUGGCUCAUGUCAUACACAGCAUGUUCUACAUAGAAGAUCAAAAUCGGCAGAUAUCACGUACCCAGCAAGACUGGACGGUUGUCACGUACACAGAGCUGAAGUGAAGAGAUAUUGAGAAGAUUGAGACUUUUAUGUGGGUCUCCGAACGGUGGGUACAGAAAAUGGACAGAUUGUGCAGGAUUCUUCUUAUCACUUUAGAUGAAGUAUUAGAAAGUCGCACAGAGUGCCCUUUCCUCCCAUGGUGUGCCUCUGUACUCAGAAGCUCCCAAAUGAUGACACCUAUGAGGAACACCUAAUGGUUAAACAGAUCGUGAAGGUUACAGGGAUAUCCUUAAUGAACGCCUACCUACUUAGAGCGCCAUGGACCUCAGACUGAGCACAAUGGGUCACAACAAAAAGACAACACUGGAAGGGUCCACUUGACCAACUCCACGUUCAACAAUCUGGAAAAAAAGGUGGGUCGGCGUUCUUCUGGUUGCAGUCCACCUCCACAAGCUGCUUCUUCACGGCGUUUUGAUGUCGGCUGCAAACUGAUCCCAUCGGGUGGAAAGGUUAAGGAUGGCUGGCUUAGAAGGAGGAGCACAGGCUGUUUUGUCCCUUUCGGCGUCAAAGACCCUCUGGCAGGAGUGGCGGUCCGCGAGUGGAGGUGAUCGCGGGGUAUUUUUGGAAGCAGGGGAGCAACAGCUUGCAUCACAUGGCCGCCGUGUGACUCUGCGUGUUGCUUCAGAGGCCUUUUGCUUUUCCGAGGUCUGUGGUUACAAAACCUUGCCGGCCGGGCCACGCGAUUGUGCUGGAGUCAGAGGAAGGUUAAAUUUAGAUUUCGCAGUGACAGGUGGCAUCCAGAGGACCACAUGCCUGGUCAGCUGCUGGCCUGAACCAGAGGGGCCAGAAAAACAAGGGAAAGUAAAUAUUUACUGAAUUUGAAAAUGCUUUUCAAUUAGAAUUCUUGGGGUAUUUUUAAAAAUCGCUAUCCACACCCACUGAGACAAUUCUCAGGACCACUGCCCUAAUGCCGGGUCGGACCUCCUUUUGAUCUCCAGACAGCCUCGGUUCUCCCUGCCAUGGAUUCCACAAGAUGCCCGAAGCAGUCCUUUGUGAUUCUGCUCCGUCUGCACCCAAUUCUGUCACAAAAUGUCCGCAGACGUGUCAGCUGCACAUUCAUCUCCUGCUCUGCCACAUCCUAAGGGUGUGCUGUUGGAUUCAGGUCUGGGAACUGGUAAGACCCCCAAAGUCAUUGUCAUGUUCACUUUGCUUUGUGACACAAUGCAUUGGAAUGCUGGAAGGAUCCACUAGAAGAUGGCUAAACUGUGGCCAUGAAGGGUCUACCUGCUCCGCAGCAACGAUCACAUAGCAUUCAAGUGAUGAUUGACUGGUGUGUCCAAAAAACACACAAACACGCCUCCCACCAUCAGCCUGGACUGUUUGACGCCAACCAUCUGUGCGCCUCGGCAGAAAUCGAGAUUCGUCAGACCAGGCCACGGCAGUUUGUGUUCCGUACUGUGAUUGUGUUAAUGACGUUAUCUUAUCUUACCUUACCUUACGCUACGUCAUGUUGUGUUGUAUUAACUGUAUAUCAUGUUAUGUGCUCUGUGUAUUACAGCAGGCACUGUGGGUGUAGUGGUCAAGGCUCUGGCUGUGGGUUCAAAUCCCACUACUGACACCAUGUGACCUUCACUUGCCUGCACGCCAACUGGAAAAGCAAAAGAAAUGGAAGUAAACGUAUCAUAAAUGGUCAACCAUGUGGUGGUGGUGGUGUUGGCACAGGACAAUGUGAUAUGUUAGGUUAUCUUAAACUACAUUGUUAUAGUAGUGUGUGUGUUACAUUUGUUAUGUCUUCUUAAAUUGUUUCGUUAUCUACUGCAUACUGUAUGUUAUGCUAGUGAUGUGAUACUGCAUUAUGUUAUAUUGUGCUACAUUGUUAUGUUAAACUAUAUGUUAUGUCACUGUAUGUUAAGUCGUGCCAUGUAAUACGUGUUGUGUUAUAUUACAUUAUGUUGGGAUAGUCAAGUCAAGUCGGGGAGCCUGCACUGGUACAGCUUGUUGUCACACCCAUCACAUGACGAAACGACUCGGGAUCCCAGGCAGGCACGCAUGCGGUCCAGUCCCACCCUCCGGAAAUGACCCCCUAUCUGCCGCAGCCAGGUGUCACGUGGGUGU